GGGCAGAGUUGUUUAUUGGGGGUGUGGGGUCUGUGUAAUCCAUGGAUUGGUGAAUACAGAAGGGUUGGAUAUUCCUGCUGGCCUGUUCCUGGGAAUGGGACAACUGCCGCUUCCAAGCUGGGAGAGCAGGGAUGAGUUUGGCUGCUUUAGUUAUGGACAAACUUUUGCUGAAGAGAUCAGAGGUGUGACAUUCUCUGUCUGAAAGCUGAUGAAACAUUGAUAAAUUAAAAGAAUCGGAGCUGAGGCAAGGAACAAAACUCUAAUAUUUUCCUGAAACACGCAUUUAUCUGGGGCUAAUACCCAGAGUGAGUGAACAGCUUUGUGUCAUGGAAGAUCCAAAACGAAAUCCCAGCUGUUCUUCCAGUCACCUCUGCAGUGGCUUCAGAAGAGAUUUGUUAAAAACCCCGAGAUCUCAGUUUUCCAGAUUCGAUUCUACAUGGACGUGAUUGUCACAUCUUUUCAAGGCUGCUCUUUUCAGUGAGCCCCAGGAUAUGGGUCAGCAAACUUGAGAGCACAAGAGCAGGCUGAUAAAACAGAAGUGAAAGACUCACUAAUGUGUCAAGUAUUGAUGUUGCUGCAAGCUUUCCCUUGUCUCCCGCUCCGUCAGUAAAUAAUUCACCAGACUCCUGUUAGUCCUCGUGGUGAUACUGAAGGGUUCUUUCAUUAAUUUAUGAUUUUCGUCUGGGAGAAGCUUUCGAUGAUUUCAGAGCUGUGGUGGUGGGGUGCGUGUUCCUUGCGUCUGUCCAGUUUUCCAUAAGUGUUUUCCCUCACUUUUUUGAGGUGUGCAGAUCGGCUGUUGGCUCUUCCUGAAAGGCCAGGCUGGAAAUUCCAGCGAUUGGGAAGAAUACAGCAUAUUUUAAAUUACAGCUCCUGCUGUUACUGAAAUGGGAGGUGAAUCCUGACUGAAGGUGCAAGGGAAAUGCGGAUGGACUCAGGAAUCUUUUCGGUUGUACUUUUCCUCCUGCAUGCAACUAAAAAAAGGGAUAUUAAUCUCAUCCAAACCCAUUAUUCUUCAACACACACCUUCACCCUUACUGCUGCAGCCCUGGGGUGCUGUUUUUGGGACAGGUUCUCCCAUUCAACUCCCCUGUUAAUCUGGGAUCCAAGGAGCAUUGACAUUCCCACCCAGCCCACGGGACGUUCGCGGCGCCGGCUCCUCCUCCGUGUGCCGAUGGCUCUGUCUCUCCGGAAUGUGGUCAAUGGCACGGAGGGAGGUCCAAAAGCCUUUCCCUGUUUGUCCUGCUUAUCCCUGCAUGUCCCAGGUCGCUGCCCGAGGCAGGCAGGGUAUUUAUAGCUGGAAUGUUUGAUGUUCGCGGCGCCUUCCCGAGGCCAUGUCUGAUUCCUUUGGGUUCAGCGGGCUCCAUGAGACUUCUCCUGGUUUUUGUGCUCCGGGCACAGCUCUCUGAGUCAGUGCCAGCUCUCCCUCGGUGUUUACAGUGGAUUUUCCUUUGAAAUAUGCAUUGCCCUUUGGAUUUUGUGUAGGAUCAGCACUUUCUUCGUCUGGCACCCUAAGACCCCUGAGGAAGUUUAAGGGAUGGCUCAUUUUGGAUCAUCAUUCCCUUGCUUCUUUCCCAAAGCCCUUCCGUUGCAUUAACCAUGGGAUUAUUUAUAGCAGCCCUUUUGAGCCAGGCCAGCCUGCAGUGCUCAGGAAUUAUUGCAGAGCUGCCGGGGAUGUGCGUCGUGGGUGUUCUCUGGAAUUGGGGGAUGUGGGAAGCACAGGGACAUCCGUCCUUCAGUGCCCCCCUGGAGCUAAAGCCUGGCAUGGAGACAGACCCUCCUUGGCAUGUCCUCACUGAGCCUUUCCUGCUGGAUUUUCUGCUUUUCCAAGGGAAAGAGAUGCGAAUUUCCUCAUGGAAAUUUCUUGGGUUUCAGAGGAUUUUUUUCCCUAAAAAAAAAAAAAAAAAAGCAUCCAUGAAGUGGAAGUGUCUGGGCCAAAGGGGUUUGUUGGUGUUCAGGAUUUAAUUUAAAAUCAUGUUUGUUUGGUCUUCACGUGAAGACAAGGAAUUCAAGUUUCAAGGCACUCUGGAGGCCAAGCUUUCCAUCCUGUUUCCUUUUUGUCCCACUAACUUCCUCGACUUGAAUCACCACUUCAGUCCUUUCCUUGGGUUUUAUUUCACUUGUUAGGAAAAGGAGAAAACCAGCCUCCCAUUAUUCUGUUGAUUCCUGAAAAUUGUGGGAAAUAGGUCGCAAUUAGCCUUUUGGAUAAGUAGUUUCUUCAUUUUCCAUGGAUUAAUAGGAAGAGGUGGAUGCGUUUGGGUUUUCACUCUCAUUCUUUGCUUUAUUUUCUUUUUGGCUUUAUCCUGAUGCCUCCUUUCUCUUGACCUGCCAGAACUUUGGAGUUUCUUGCGUUAGUGCCAACAUAUUUAGGCUCAAGUUUAACAAAAAAAUAAGUGUUAAUUUUGUAGUGGGGACAAAGACCCACGGAAGCCCAACCUUGAGGGAAGAAGCUGUUGGUGACCAGGAAGGACCAGGGCUCUCAGGGAAAUGGGAAUUGGUGAUUUUCGGCUAGGACAGGUUCUAUCAUGCCAUCUCCACCUUUGAAAUGCUCAGAUUUCCUCAUCCCAAAUCCUGGAAUUACAUUCAUCAGCCUCCUGUACUUUGCCCAUUUUUUUUUUUUUCCUCCAACAGCGCCCUGAAGCAUCUGUAGAAUAAUCAUGUUCAAAAUUCAUUGCUUUGUAUUUUUAACUUCAACCCUAAAAUGCUGAGACAGCUCAAUGUGUCUGGAGCCUCUUUCUGGAUCCCCAGUCAUUCCAACAUCUGACCCAUCUGGCUCAGCAUUUGUCCCUCCGAUGUUUCUGCAAGGAAAAGUUGUCUCCAACGCUAUUCCGGGCAAGGCUUACAAGGUCUCAUGAUUAAAAAUGCAUUUCUAUGAUGUUUCCAAAACACCACUUUCAUCUUAUUGCUAAAGCGGUAUAAAUUCCACGGUGAGCGCUCUAUGAAACGCUAUUUAUAGAAGAAAUGAGUGUAGCUGCAGCCCUGCGCUGGGGUUUGCUGGCUCAGGAUGAGCUGUGUUUUAUACCUGGCAAUUACUCACAGAAAAGCAAGAGGGGGGAAAAAAAGAAGAAGAGCUGCUUGAGAUGAUUGUGGGGUUUGUGUGGAACAUCAAACAGUGGCUGGUGAGACCUGCCAGGGCGAUCUGAACGAAAAAAUCAGGGUGGCAGUAACAAACUGUCCCUUUCUACUGCCUCUGUAAUUCUGCGAACCAUUAUUCCUGGAAUGGGGGAUUCCAGGGGAUGCAGCAGCUGCAGCCUUUGCUGGGAAUGAGGGCUUGGAGGUAUUCCUGGAAUGAUUUAGGGGCUGAGCUCUCAGGGAAGCAGAGGAGUUUCUGUGCUGAAGAGGCUGGGAAGAGCCCUCUUCCCACCUUGUCCCUGUCUCCUGAGCACAUGGAAGCACCUGAGGAGAGGAAGCAGCCUCAGGCUGCACCAGAUAAGAUUGGAUAGGAGGAGAAAAUUCCUCUUGUCCAGCCCUGUCCCGAGAACACCACCCAUCUGUCUGAGAGGUUUCAGUGUUUUACUUUAAUGUGCAAAAUGUGACACUGUGUGCAGGGAGGUUCUAAAAACAAAUGAAAUGAUGGCAGCUGCUUUUAUUGUCUCUUAAUGUAAAAAGAAACUAUUUUCGCAUGACUUGU
Molecule: RNA transcript, 3628 nt
Organism: Hirundo rustica (Barn swallow)
Lineage: Eukaryota; Metazoa; Chordata; Aves; Passeriformes; Hirundinidae
Exons: 2
Source: RefSeq, a predicted model, not a curated record